This 211-nucleotide long non-coding RNA is filed under the name Hordeum vulgare. Its description in RNAcentral is "long non-coding RNA (HVUL_LNC001490)". The record is from RNAcentral. Lineage: Eukaryota; Viridiplantae; Streptophyta; Magnoliopsida; Poales; Poaceae.
GAUACGUCUCAAACGUAUCUAUAAUUUUUGAUGGUUUCACGAUGUUAUCUUGUCUUCUUUGGUUGUUUUAUGUACCUUUUAUAUCUUUUUUGGGACUAACUUAUUAAUUCAGUGCCAAGUGCUAGUUCCUGUUUUUUCCGUGUUUUUGACUCUUUUUAGAUCUGAUUUUGGAACGGAUUCCAAAUGGAAGAAAAACCCCGAAAUGAUUUUU